RNAcentral lists this unclassified non-coding RNA (363 nucleotides) under Hevea brasiliensis (rubber tree). Lineage: Eukaryota; Viridiplantae; Streptophyta; Magnoliopsida; Malpighiales; Euphorbiaceae. The record is from RNAcentral.
CUGAAGUUCUCGAGGAAUGUGAGUCAAACACGUUGGAUCAUUGAUGAUGAAAGAAUGGGAGAAGCAUCUGUCGAGGAGAUAAUAGGUGGCAACAUCCUUCCCGCUGACAGUUACAAGUUUCAUGCUGCUGGUAGAGAGGAUAUCGAUGUUCGAAUGCUGGGUUCAGGCAGGCCUUUCCUGGUUGAGAUACAAAAUGCCCGCCAAGUCCCAUCUGAGGCUCUUGUGAAAGAAAUAGAGACUAAGAUAAAUAACUUAAAUACUAAAUUGGUUGCAGUUAAAAAUCUUAAAAUGGUAGCCAAUGAGGGCUGGACUCUGAUGCAUGAGGGGGAAGCAGAAAAGCAGAAGCAAUAUUGUGCGCUGGUG